AUUGAACGCUGGCGGCAGGCUUAACACAUGCAAGUCGAGCGGGGUGAUGGUGCUUGCACUAUCACUUAGCGGCGGACGGGUGAGUAAUGCUUAGGAAUCUGCCUAUUAGUGGGGGACAACAUCUCGAAAGGGAUGCUAAUACCGCAUACGUCCUACGGGAGAAAGCAGGGGAUCACUUGUGACCUUGCGCUAAGAGAUGAGCCUAGGUCGGAUUAGCAAGUUGGUGGGGUAAAGGCCUACCAAGGAGACGAUCUGUAGCGGGUCUGAGAGGAUGAUCCGCCACACUGGGACUGAGACACGGCCCAGACUCCUACGGGAGGCAGCAGUGGGGAAUAUUGGACAAUGGGGGGAACCCUGAUCCAGCCAUGCCGCGUGUGUGAAGAAGGCCUUAUGGUUGUAAAGCACUUUAAGCGAGGAGGAGGCUCUUUUGGUUAAUACCCAAGAUGAGUGGACGUUACUCGCAGAAUAAGCACCGGCUAACUCUGUACCAGCAGCCGCGGUAA
Molecule: ribosomal RNA, 503 nt
Filed under: uncultured bacterium
Lineage: Bacteria
Description: partial 16S ribosomal RNA
Rfam family: Bacterial small subunit ribosomal RNA
Source: RNAcentral